AACGAACGCUGGCGGCAUGCCUAACACAUGCCAGUCGAACGAGACCUUCGGGUCUAGUGGCGCACGGGUGCGUAACGCGUGGGAACCUGCCCUUAGGUUCGGAAUAACUCCCCGAAAGGGGUGCUAAUACCGGAUAAUGUCUUCGGACCAAAGAUUUAUCGCCUUUGGAUGGGCCCGCGUUGGAUUAGCUAGUUGGUAGGGUAAAAGCCUACCAAGGCGACGAUCCAUAGCUGGUCUGAGAGGAUGAUCAGCCACACUGGGACUGAGACACGGCCCAGACUCCUACGGGAGGCAGCAGUGGGGAAUAUUGGACAAUGGGCGAAAGCCUGAUCCAGCAAUGCCGCGUGAGUGAUGAAGGCCUUAGGGUUGUAAGGCUCUUUUACCCGGGAUGAUAAUGACAGUACCGGGAGAAUAAGCUCCGGCUAACUCCGUG
This 433-nucleotide ribosomal RNA is filed under the name uncultured bacterium. RNAcentral's name for it is "partial 16S ribosomal RNA". It matches the Rfam family "Bacterial small subunit ribosomal RNA", at positions 29 to 507 of the family's 1533-position model. The record is from RNAcentral.